UACGUAGGGUGCGAGCGUUGUCCGGAAUUAUUGGGCGUAAAGAGCUCGUAGGCGGCCUGUCGCGUCUGCUGUGAAAUCCCGAGGCUCAACCUCGGGCUUGCAGUGGGUACGGGCAGGCUAGAGUGCGGUAGGGGAGAAUGGAACUCCUGGUGUAGCGGUGGAAUGCGCAGAUAUCAGGAAGAACACCGAUGGCGAAGGCAGUUCUCUGGGCCGUAACUGACGCUGAGGAGCGAAAGCGUGGGGAGCGAACAGG
Molecule: ribosomal RNA, 253 nt
Filed under: uncultured bacterium
Lineage: Bacteria
Description: partial 16S ribosomal RNA
Rfam family: Bacterial small subunit ribosomal RNA
Source: RNAcentral